GCCCCUGUGGUGGAAUCAACAGGUAGACACACUGCGUUCAGAGCGCGGCGGUCCGGAAGGGCCAUGUCGGUUCAAAUCCGACUAGGGGCACCA
This 93-nucleotide transfer RNA is filed under the name Terriglobia bacterium. RNAcentral's name for it is "tRNA-Leu". It matches the Rfam family "tRNA". From Rfam's summary of the family: Transfer RNA (tRNA) molecules are approximately 80 nucleotides in length. Their secondary structure includes four short double-helical elements and three loops (D, anti-codon, and T loops). The record is from RNAcentral. Lineage: Bacteria; Pseudomonadati; Acidobacteriota; Terriglobia.